AUUAACGUUUGAGUGAUGGAGGAACGCAGAAGGCUAAGUUGUGCAUCCUGAUGGAUAUGGAUGUUCAAGUCGCAAGUCAGGUCAAGAGAGAAAUGCUUUUGAUCGGGUUGACAAAGCGACGAUGAGGACCGAAAUUAUAGUAGGGAAGCAACUGAUGUCACGCUGCCGAGAAAAGCUUCUAGCGAGUUAAUAACUACCCGUACCGCAAACCGACACAGGUAGUCGAGGAGAGUAUCCUCAGGUGAGCGAGAGAACUCUCGUUAAGGAACUCGGCAAAAUGACCCCGUAACUUCGGAAGAAGGGGUGCUGUCCUAACGGACAGCCGCAGUGAAGAGGCCCAGACGACUGUUUAUCAAAAACACAGGUUUCUGCAAAAUCGUAAGAUGACGUAUAGGGGCUGACGCCUGCCCGGUGCUGGAAGGUUAAGUGGAAGAGUUAGCUUCGGCGAAGCUCCGAAAUGAAGCCCCAGUAAACGGCGGCCGUAACUAUAACGGUCCUAAGGUAGCGAAAUUCCUUGUCGGGUAAGUUCCGACCCGCACGAAAGGCGUAACGAUCUGGGCACUGUCUCAACGAGAGACUCGGUGAAAUUAAGAUACCUGUGAAGAAGCAGGUUACCCGCGACAGGACGGAAAGACCCCAUGGAGCUUUACUGUAGCUUGAUAUUGGGUGUUUGCACAGCUUGUACAGGAUAGGUAGGAGCCAUUGAAACCGGAGCGCUAGCUUCGGCGGAGGCGUCAUUGGGAUACUACCCUUGCUAUGUGAACACUCUAACCCUGAGCACUCAACGUGCUCGGAGACAGUGUCUGGUUGGCAGUUUGACUGGGGCGGUCGCCUCCCAAAUAGUAACGGAGGCGCCCAAAGGUUCCCUCAGAAUGGUUGGAAAUCAUUCAUAGAGUGUAAAGGCAGAAGGGAGCUUGACUGCGAGACAUACAGGUCGAGCAGGGACGAAAGUCGGGCUUAGUGAUCCGGUGGUACCAUAUGGAAGGGCCAUCGCUCAACGGAUAAAAGCUACCCUGGGGAUAACAGGCUUAUCUCCCCCAAGAGUUCACAUCGACGGGGAGGUUUGGCACCUCGAUGUCGGCUCAUCGCAUCCUGGGGCUGUAGUUGGUCCCAAGGGUUGGGCUGUUCGCCCAUUAAAGCGGUACGCGAGCUGGGUUCAGAACGUCGUGAGACAGUUCGGUCCCUAUCCGUCGCGGGCGCAGGAAAUUUGAGAGGAGCUAUCCCUAGUACGAGAGGACCGGGAUGGACAUACCGCUGGUGUACCAGUUGCGCCGCCAGGCGCACAGCUGGGUAGCUAUGUAUGGACGAGAUAAACGCUGAAAGCAUCUAAGUGUGAAACUCGCCUCGAGAUGAGAUUUCCCAUUCCUUUAUGGAAGUAAGACCCCUGAAAGAUGAUCAGGUAGAUAGGUUAGAAGUGGAAGCGUAGUGAUACGUGAAGCGGACUAAUACUAAUCGGUCGAGGACUUAACCAA
This 1472-nucleotide non-coding RNA is filed under the name Fructilactobacillus fructivorans. RNAcentral describes it as "Lactobacillus fructivorans Bacterial large subunit ribosomal RNA". It matches the Rfam family "Bacterial large subunit ribosomal RNA", at positions 1450 to 2925 of the family's 2925-position model. Lineage: Bacteria; Bacillati; Bacillota; Bacilli; Lactobacillales; Lactobacillaceae. The record is from Rfam by way of RNAcentral.